Molecule: long non-coding RNA, 890 nt
Organism: Oreochromis niloticus (Nile tilapia)
Lineage: Eukaryota; Metazoa; Chordata; Actinopteri; Cichliformes; Cichlidae
Exons: 3
Source: RefSeq, a predicted model, not a curated record
GAGCAAAUUCCAAAGGACUCACUCCUUAUCAUGGCAGCUGUGGACCAUUUGUCUUCUCAGUGAGGCGGAGGUGGAUUAAAUCAGCUUACUUCACUUUGCUGAAAACCAGCUGCACCUUUCAGUAAACAGUCAAACACAACUCUAUGACCGAGCUCGAAAAGUCCUGCAGAAAAGUGCUGAGAAGGUUAAAGUCUGCCUCCACUGGGAUCACAGAACUUCUGUCUACCAAUCUGUGCGGGAUUUUCUCUUACAGUGCUUACCCAACAUCCACUCACUCAGUUUCUUUCAGUCAUCAGAAAAUCUCUCUGAUCAAACCAAGUUCUUGAUGAAUCUCAUUACUGGAGCAGCAGAGAGAGAACAGCAGACGGGAGAGAAGACACUAAAACGGCUAUCAUCAGUGUGCAAAUAUCAAACAUUUAUUUUUAAUGACAGUUACAAGGACAAGAGAUACAAAUGUAACAUACUGCUGGAUCUGUGCUCCCGUGUGAAGGACUAUGAGACUAAAACAGGUCUGAGUGUCCUUCCAGCAUUAGAGUCAGUAUUUUCAGCUCCUGCAGUCUGGAUCAUAGACCUCUCAGAGAGAAAGACCUCCAUCCUCCUGGAAGUGCUGAAACUCCAACCAGAGAAGAAACAAGUGGAGCUGAGAGACUGCUCACAUGAAGAGAGUGAAGUGAGGAGUUUGCUGCAGUGCCUGCCUUUUAUCUCACAGCUCAGGUACAUGGAAAUUUUCUUCACAUGAGUCAAAUAUCUGUAAGAAAAGAUGUGCUGUGAAAAUAAGUGAUGGAAAUAUUUGAAGGUCCAUAAAUUGUAAAGUGAUAAUUUUGAUUUGUGGUUAUUUUCUGUAAAUGUCAGAUGACCUUUAAUGCUGAAACAGGACAAUAGGAUCUAAA